This 522-nucleotide ribosomal RNA is filed under the name Triticum aestivum (bread wheat). RNAcentral's name for it is "partial small subunit ribosomal RNA". The record is from RNAcentral. Lineage: Eukaryota; Viridiplantae; Streptophyta; Magnoliopsida; Poales; Poaceae.
GAUGAUAUCAUGGUAUACUUGAAGAACGAGGAGGAGCACAAAGAGCAUUUGCGUUUAGUUCUCGUGAAGCUUAGGGAACACCAGUUGUAUGCUAAGUUUAGCAAAUGCGAGUUUUGGCUGAAGGAAGUCGGAUUCCUUGGACAUGUUAUAUCAAGAGAAGAUAUAGCAGUAGAGCCCAGCAAGAUUCAGUCAGUCACUGAAUGGUUGGCACCCACCUCAGUUAGCGAGAUCCGCAGUUUUCUUGGACUCGCAGGAUACUACCGGAGAUUCAUUGAGAAUUUUUCCAAGAUUCCAAAACGAAUGACUGAGUUGUUGAAGAAGGAUACCAAGUUUAAAUGGACAGAAGAUUGUGAAGCAAGUUUCCAGGAGUUGAAGAAACGUUUGACUACAGCCCCAGUGCUAGUACUGCCAGAUAUACAUAAGGAGUUCCAAGUGUAUUGCGACACCUCUCGCUUAGGACUUGGAUGUGUGCUUAUGCAGGACGGAAGAGUUUUUUCGUAUGCCUCACGACAACUAAAACCU